This 230-nucleotide ribosomal RNA is filed under the name uncultured bacterium. RNAcentral describes it as "partial 16S ribosomal RNA". It matches the Rfam family "Bacterial small subunit ribosomal RNA", at positions 102 to 334 of the family's 1533-position model. The record is from RNAcentral.
ACGGCUGAGUAACGCGUGGGUGACGUACCUAUCGGUGGGGAAUAACUGCCCGAAAGGGUGGCUAAUACCGCAUACGUCCACUGCUUCAGUGUGGUGGGGAAAACCGCAAGGUGCCGAUGGAGCGGCCCGCGUCCGAUUAGCUAGUUGGUGGGGUAACGGCCUACCAAGGCGACGAUCGGUAGCUGGUCUCAGAGGAUGAUCAGCCAGACUGGGACUGAGACACGGCCCAG